AGUGAACGCUGGCGGUAGGCCUAACACAUGCAAGUCGAACGGCAGCACAGUAAGAGCUUGCUCUUACGGGUGGCGAGUGGCGGACGGGUGAGGAAUACAUCGGAAUCUACUUUUUCGUGGGGGAUAACGUAGGGAAACUUACGCUAAUAUCGCAUACGACCUACGGGUGAAAGCAGGAGAUCUUCGGACCUUGCGCGAUUGAAUGAGCCGAUGUCGGAUUAGCUAGUUGGCGGGGUAAAGGCCCACCAAGGCGACGAUCCGUAGCUGGUCUGAGAGGAUGAUCAGCCACACUGGAACUGAGACACGGUCCAGACUCCUACGGGAGGCAGCAGUGGGGAAUAUUGGACAAUGGGCGCAAGCCUGAUCCAGCCAUACCGCGUGGGUGAAGAAGGCCUUCGGGUUGUAAAGCCCUUUUGUUGGGAAAGAAAAGCAGCAGGUGAAUACCCCGCUGUUCUGACGGUACCCAAAGAAUAAGCACCGGCUAACUUCGUG
This 492-nucleotide ribosomal RNA is filed under the name uncultured bacterium. RNAcentral's name for it is "partial 16S ribosomal RNA". It matches the Rfam family "Bacterial small subunit ribosomal RNA", at positions 29 to 507 of the family's 1533-position model. The record is from RNAcentral.